This 634-nucleotide ribosomal RNA is filed under the name Atractosporocybe sp. 'inornata var. ianthinophylla'. Its description in RNAcentral is "eukaryotic LSU rRNA". The stretch from base 273 to 426 matches the Rfam family "5.8S ribosomal RNA". The record is from RNAcentral. Lineage: Eukaryota; Fungi; Basidiomycota; Agaricomycetes; Agaricales; Lyophyllaceae.
GUAACAAGGUUUCCGUAGGUGAACCUGCGGAAGGAUCAUUAUUGAAUAAACUUGGUUGGGUUGCUGCUGGUUCUUCGGAACAUGUGCACACCUGGCGCCAUUUUUACCACCUGUGCACCUUUUGUAGACCUGGAUAUCUCUCGAGGAAACUCGGUUUGAGGACUGCUGUGCGCAAGCCAGCUUUCCUUACAUUUCCGGUCUAUGUUUUUAUAUACCCCAUCAGAAUGUAACAGAAUGUCAUUAAUAGGCCUUGGUGCCUUUAAAUAAAAUACAACUUUCAACAACGGAUCUCUUGGCUCUCGCAUCGAUGAAGAACGCAGCGAAAUGCGAUAAGUAAUGUGAAUUGCAGAAUUCAGUGAAUCAUCGAAUCUUUGAACGCACCUUGCGCUCCUUGGUAUUCCGAGGAGCAUGCCUGUUUGAGUGUCAUUAAAUUCUCAACCUUUCUGGCUUUUAUUAGUCCGUUAGGCUUGGAUGUGGGAGUUGCGGGCUUCUUAGAAGUCAGCUCUCCUUAAAUGCAUUAGCGAAACCUUUGUUGACCAUCUCUGGUGUGAUAAUUAUCUACGCCAUUGGGAAGCAGCUUUAAAAUCGGUUUAGCUUCUAACCGUCUUCUGGACAAUUCUUGACAUUUGACCUC